RNAcentral lists this long non-coding RNA (221 nucleotides) under Elaeis guineensis (African oil palm). RNAcentral's name for it is "long non-coding RNA (EGUI_LNC073742)". Lineage: Eukaryota; Viridiplantae; Streptophyta; Magnoliopsida; Arecales; Arecaceae. The record is from RNAcentral.
AAUUCUAAAUCCAAACUUAUUCCUUUUUGAUUUGAUCCAAACCACCUUCCAUGUAAGAAAGAAGAGAGAAAACCUUUUAUGAACGUGGGAGAGACCUGGGAGAGGGCUUUUGUCAUACAAAAUAAGUGGAGAUUGGCGUUGAAUAAGAGAGAGGGCGUGGGGAAGGCUUAUGUGGCGCAAGGUGGAAUCCUAGUCUUACUAGGAUUCUAUCUCAUGACUUG